UGGUAGUGGCGUAGAAUGACGUCACUGACAUUGGUUUAAUAUGAAAACAAACUUUGUCAAACCAAAAACAAAACCAAAAAAAGAAGAAGUGAGUCAGCGUGUCAUCUUUACCGAGCACCAUACAUGUUUUGCACACAAAAAAACAAGUAUUGCCGAACAAAAGAUAAAUGUCCUUUUUUUUCCUACUUUCGCCGGCUGGUCGUUUGGCGUAAGACGUAAGAAGUGGCGCUUUCCAUCUGAGCGCCCGAGUUCGAACCCCCCACGGACUCGCUGCCACGACCCUUGCUUGGGGGGCGGGGAGAAGCCAAGUCGCUUCUCCUUUUUCCUGCUCUUGCCAACUCCUCCGCCUGCUCUCUUAUUACCUUUUAUUACCGCAAAAUACCCAUGCUUGUCAGCUCUUCAUUCCUCAACUAUUUGCUGCUUAUUACUCCACCUUCCGCAACUUUCUCUCUUCAGGCUACCAACUCUGCCUUCAUUUUUUCACACUGUCUCCGACACUUUUACAUCAAAUUAUUAGCACCUAAUAACCACAGUGACAGAGGGACCCCAGGCUUUUUUUCGGUUUCUCUCAGACCAAGAUUGAAUGUGAUGACAAGGGUGAUGGAUGGUGUGACAUGUGCUGCUGGCCCACAGAACCAGGUUAAGGCGUACGGUCCAGGCCUUCAGAGCAGUGGUCUGGCUGUUGGAAAACCCACUGAAUUCACAGUUGAUGCCAAGCAAGGAGGAAAAGCUCCUCUGAAAAUUAUAGCCCAGGAUGGUGAAGUCAAUUCUGUGGAUGUCCAGGUUAAGGAUAAUGGCAACAGCACAUACACCUGCACCUACACCCCACGUAAGCCUGUGAAGCACACUGUGAUGGUCUCCUGGGGAGACUGAGAGUCCAUUCAGGAUGAAUAUCGGAGCAGGCUGUCAUCCAAACAAGGUGAAGGUCUCUGACCCUGGAGUGGCAAAUACGGGCCUCCAAGCCUUCCAGCCAACAUACUUCACUGUUGACUGCUCAGAGUCUGGUCAAGGACAAAGGCUGUUUGCGUUUAGGCUAUUCCAAUGACAUCCUUCAGGGUCAAAGUGGAUCCUUCUCAAGGCAGAGGGACCAGGACUCAGCCGCAGUGGAGGAAGGUGGAGGAGCAGCUCCAGCAGAGCAACACCAGAGGUGUGUGGAGAGGACUGAACACCAUCACUGGACGGAGCACUGUGAGCGGAGGGGGUCCAGAGUCUGGAGACCAGGUUCUGGCUAACAGAUUGAACCAGUUGUUUAACAGGUUUGAUUCAGUAGUACUUCCCUCCCCCAUCCACCAGAGCUCGUCACACCUCUCUGCAACCCCCCAUAGCACCGGGGACAUGAAAUGCACCUCACCUGUCCCCCUUUUCCUUUUCCUUCAACCACUCUACUGGGUCUAAGUCGUCUCCACCUGCUACGGCGGCUGAGAUCCUUUGGGGUGAAAUAAACCUCAUGAGGAAUGAUUUUGAGUUCAACGGGGAAUUCUAUUUACAGAUUAAGGGUACGGCAAUGGGGAAAAACUUUGCCCCAGCCUAUGCCAACAUCUUCAUGGCAGAGUGGGAGACCUCUGCAUUGGAGAAAUGUGUUAAAAAGCCAUUAUAUUAUUAUCGAUUCUUGGAUGAUAUCUGGGGGGUUUGGCAACAUCCUGAGCGAGACUUUGAGGUGUUUUUGAGGACUCUUAAAUAAUUGGUUGAAACAACAAAGGGAAAGGAGAGUCUUCUAAUAUGACAAUCGUUUUUGCAAUUGUUCAUCCAAACACUUUUUUCUAUGUUUCCAAAAAACAAACACACUCAUCUAAGAAAAAUUCAUUGGACUAAAGUUUGAAUGCGCAUGCAACAUGUUUAUUAAGACUGUCUAAUGUCUGCGACGCUAUCUUCUCCCACGUCUGCGAACACCGGAGGCCUUGUGGGGUCUCCUGCCUCUGCGAACGGGGAAAGUAGACCUCGCAUGUUUGCGUCUAUACCUGCGGAGAGCAGCAAUGUGAUAUCAACUGAAAGCUCAUAACUGAAGCAGAUUAGUCAUUUUGUUGUGACCAUAUAACCAAGCAUGCCGACAUGAGGAGUCGCGAGUAAAAGGAGGAAUAUGCGCAAAAUUCCUCCUUUUACGCACGAUUCCUCAUGUCGGCAUGCUUGGUUACAUGAUCACAACAACAUUACUCGCAAAUAUGUUUUAAAUGGAUAAUUCCUCAUCCAUUUAAAACAUAUUUGGCGGCGUUUAAAGGUAAUAUGCGCAAAAUUACUCGUUUUACUCACGACUCCUUAUGUCGGCAUGCUUUUUACAUGAUCUCAAUAAAAUGACUCGCAAAUAUGUUUUAAAUGGAUGAUUCCUCAUUUGAUGGAGAAUCAUCCAUUUACACAUUUCCUGAGUCCUAAAUUUGAUGCCAGUGAACCUUUCUGAAAAGCCCCCAAAUCCCCUAUGAGCAAGCACUUGGCGACAGCGGGGAGGAAACCCCCCCCUUUAAUGGGGGGAAACCUCCGACAGAACCGGGCUCAGGAAGGGGUGGCCAUCUGUUGCGCACAGGCGGCGUUUAAAUGUAAUAUCUGUAAAGUUCCUCGUUUUACUCGCAACUCCUCAUGUCGGCAUGCUUGGUUACAUGAUCACAACAAAAUUACUCAAAAAGAUGUUUUAAAUGGAUGAUUCCUCAUUUGAUGGAGUCUGGAGGCAAGGAUUUCAGUCUCUGGAUGUGCAAAGCUGGUAGUAACAUACCCUAAAAGACUGGCAGCUGUAAUUGCGGCAAAAGGUGGUUCUACAAAGUAUUGACUCAGGGGGCUGAAU
Oreochromis aureus is the source of this 2770-nucleotide long non-coding RNA. RefSeq lists it as uncharacterized. The record is from RefSeq and is a predicted model, not a curated record. The transcript has 7 exons. NCBI's taxonomy places the organism in Eukaryota, Metazoa, Chordata, Actinopteri, Cichliformes, Cichlidae.